RNAcentral lists this transfer RNA (100 nucleotides) under Whalleya microplaca. RNAcentral's name for it is "tRNA-Arg". It matches the Rfam family "tRNA". From Rfam's summary of the family: Transfer RNA (tRNA) molecules are approximately 80 nucleotides in length. Their secondary structure includes four short double-helical elements and three loops (D, anti-codon, and T loops). The record is from RNAcentral. Lineage: Eukaryota; Fungi; Ascomycota; Sordariomycetes; Xylariales; Xylariaceae.
GGCCGCUUGGCCCAAUGGUAAGGCGUCUGACUACGACCGAGUUCGCACACGAACUUGAUAUGUUAUCAGGAGAUUCUGGGUUCGAGCCCCAGGGUGGUCA